RNAcentral lists this long non-coding RNA (575 nucleotides) under Struthio camelus australis. Its description in RNAcentral is "lncRNA (ENSSCUG00000014619.1)". The record is from RNAcentral. Lineage: Eukaryota; Metazoa; Chordata; Aves; Struthioniformes; Struthionidae.
ACAGAACUCUUGUACAGUUAAUUUCAGCUUGCAGACCAUGGGCCUUUCUUUUCUUUGUUACCUUUCAGAGAACUCUAAAGAACUAUUUCAUAGUUGCCUCUGGGUCUACAGGUCACAAGCUGAAAAUGCAGCUCUGUGACCAGGGAAAAGGACUUCAGCUGUUCCCUGCUGAUGACCAAUGAGCUUUGAAUGACGGUUGAUAUAACUUGGGUGACGAGGUUUCUGAAUUACAGCUUUCGUCUGGAUAUCUCAAGGAGCUUGCAGGACUGCCGUUGAAGGACACUGGAGAUGUCCCCCCUUGAGUCUGCAAGGAGUGUCCGAUGAGAGAACCGCAGCAGCUGCUUGGGGCCCUCCUGCCCAGCAGUGAAAGACUGACCAGUACAAGCAUUUACACUGUUAUCCUGGGGCACGUCUGUCUCCGGAGAACAUUCAGUGUGAGCAAUGCUGAUAGCCUUCAGGAGAAAAUCAGGAGAGAAGGUACCUUAUCCUGUAUAAGCAGAAUUGCUGUUCUGUUGCCAUUUGUAAGACUAUGUCCAGAAAACCUAUCAGUUAUUGCUGCGAGAUGUAAACAGUGA